UAUUCUUUUAGUAUUAUUUAGUACAACUGACUUCCAAUCAGUUAGACUUGGUAAACCCCAAGAAAGAAUAA
This 71-nucleotide transfer RNA is filed under the name Pipistrellus pygmaeus (soprano pipistrelle). Its description in RNAcentral is "tRNA-Gly". It matches the Rfam family "tRNA". Rfam says of the family: Transfer RNA (tRNA) molecules are approximately 80 nucleotides in length. Their secondary structure includes four short double-helical elements and three loops (D, anti-codon, and T loops). The record is from RNAcentral. Lineage: Eukaryota; Metazoa; Chordata; Mammalia; Chiroptera; Vespertilionidae.